Molecule: ribosomal RNA, 253 nt
Filed under: uncultured bacterium
Lineage: Bacteria
Description: partial 16S ribosomal RNA
Rfam family: Bacterial small subunit ribosomal RNA
Source: RNAcentral
UACGUAGGGUGCGAGCGUUGUCCGGAAUUAUUGGGCGUAAAGGGCUCGUAGGCGGCUUGUCGCGUCGGAUGUGAAAGCCCGGGGCUUAACUCCGGGUCUGCAUUCGAUACGGGCAGGCUAGAGUUCGGUAGGGGAGAUCGGAAUUCCUGGUGUAGCGGUGAAAUGCGCAGAUAUCAGGAGGAACACCGGUGGCGAAGGCGGAUCUCUGGGCCGAUACUGACGCUGAGGAGCGAAAGCUAGGGGAGCGAACGGG